AGAGUUUGAUCCUGGCUCAGGAUUAACGUUGGUAGUACACACAUCCAAGCAAGUCGAACGGGAUUAGAGCAAUCUGAUUCAGUGGCGAACGGGUGAGUAAUACUUAUCUUACUUGCCGAUUAGUGGGGGAUUAAAUACCGCAUACUCUGAUUUCGGUCAGGAAAGGGUUCCGUUUGGACCCGCUAGUCGAGAGGGAUAAG
Molecule: ribosomal RNA, 200 nt
Filed under: uncultured bacterium
Lineage: Bacteria
Description: partial 16S ribosomal RNA
Rfam family: Bacterial small subunit ribosomal RNA
Source: RNAcentral